CGUCAUUGACGACCAACCAUCAAGCAUGGGCCAAUUCUUGGGAGAGUUCUUGUUCUCUUGGCCUCCAGACUCCCACCGCGGUGGCCCUCCGUGUGGGAGUUGGGAACCUAUGCUUAUGUGCAACAACUCCGGCUUCUCAUCAAGUCACCAGGCGGCGACCAUGUCUGAAGAACAUGCUGACUACCGCUGCGUCAGGCAGCACGCGGGCAUCACGGACUGCAGUGAGUGAUUAGCAUAAGGCGCCACGCCAGAAUCGCCCCGACAUAUCUUCACACUUCUUCACUACUCUGGUUGGAGGCCCAGAGUACGUGCACUGCCUGCUGCCACCCCUGGAGUCGCUAGCCACGGUGGAGGAGAAGGUGGUACGUGAGAAGGCAGUGGAGUCCUUGAGGGCCAUCUCGCAUGAGCACUCGCCCUCUGACCUGGAGGCCCAUUUUGUACCACUGGUGAAGCGUCUGGCGGGUGGCGACUGUUUCACCUCCCGCACCUCAGCCUGUGGCAAUGCGGAACUUCGACAGUAUUUCCGGAACCUGUGCUCAGAUGACACUCUCAUGGUGCGGCGGGCCGCAGCCUCCAGGCUGGGGGAGUUCGCCAAGGUGCUGGAGCUGGACAAUGUUAAGAGUGAGAUCACCCCCGUGUUCUCCAACCUAGCCUCUGACGAGCAGGACUCGGUGCGGCUGCCGGCAGUGGAGGCGUGCGUGAACGUCACCCAGCUCCUGCCCCAGGAGGGUCUGGAGGCUUUGGUGAUGCCCACCCUACGCCAGGCUGCCGAAGACAAGUCCUGGCGCGUCCGUUACAUGGUGGCUGACAAGUUCACAGAGCUCCAGAAAGCAGUGGGGCCUGAGAGCACCAAGACAGACCUGGUCCCUGCCUUCCAGAACCUGAUGAAGGACUGUGAGGCCGAGGUGAGGGCCGCAGCCUCCCACAAGGUCAAAGAGUUCUGUGAAAAUCUGUCAGCUGACUGUCGGGAGACUGUGAUCAUGACCCAGAUCUUGCCCUGCAUCAAGGAGCUGGUGUCAGAUGCUAACCAACAUGUCGAGUCAGCCCUGGCCUCAGUCGUCAUGGGCCUCUCUCCCAUCCUGGGCAAAGAUAACACCAUUGAGCACCUCUUGCCCCUCUUCCUGGCUCAGCUGAAGGAUGAGUGCCCUGAGCUGCGAUUGAACAUCAUCUCCAACCUGGACCGUGUGAACGAGGUGAUUGGCAUCCGGCAGCUGUCCCAGUCCCUGCUCCCUGCCAUCGUGGAGCUGGCUGAGGAUGCUAAGUGGCGGGUGCGGUUGGCCAUCAUAGAGUACAUGCCCCUGCUGGCUGGACAGCUGGGUGUGGAGUUCUUUGAUGAGAAACUCAACUCCUUGUUCAUGGCCUGGCUGGUGGAUCAUGUCUAUGCCAUCCGUGAGGCGGCCACCAGCAACCUGAAGAAACUGGUGGAGAAGUUUGGGAAGGAGUGAGCCCAUGCCACCAUCAUCCCCAAAGUCUUGGCCAUGUCUGGAGACCCCAUCUACUUGCACCGCAUGACUACACUCUUCUGCAUCAAUGUGCUGUCUGAAGUCUGUGGGCAGGACAUCACCACCAAGCACAUGCUGCCCACAGUCCUGCGUAUGGCUGGAGACCCAGUUGCCAAUGUCCAUGUCUUCAACGUGGCCAAGUCCCUGCAGAAGAUUGUUCCCUUCCUGGACAACAGCACCCUGCAGAGUGAAGUCAAGCCUAUCCUAGGGAAGCUGACCCAGGACCAGGAUGUGGAUGUCAAGUACUUUGCCCAGGAGGCACUGACUGUUCUGUCUCUGGCCUGAUGCUGCAAGAGGAGCCAACUCUGGUGUUCACCCUUCAGCUGUCCCCAAGUCCUCCCUCGAGGAGGCAAUGGGGACCUUGGCUAUCUCUCCCUGUGCAUGGUCUGACCCCAGGCCCCUUCCCCUGCACGGUUCGUCCUCUCCCCAGCCUGGGAAGACUGCUCCUGACCACAUCCCUGGGGCUGGGAGAGCAUGAGGGUGGGAAAGGAUGGUGACCCUGGAGGCACUCUGCCCAUGUUGGGGAAAGACGUGAGCAUCCCAGGUCAUUGGUUCCUGCUGCUGUAAUGAGGAUGCCCUCCCCCAUCUACUUCUCCACCUCCCUUUCUCCCCUCUCAGUGGUUUUUUGUGUCAACUGUGUCGUUUUUAUUUUAUUCCUUUUUUUUUUUGCC
This is a non-coding RNA of Microcebus murinus (gray mouse lemur), 2173 nucleotides long. The record is from RefSeq and is a predicted model, not a curated record. NCBI's taxonomy places the organism in Eukaryota, Metazoa, Chordata, Mammalia, Primates, Cheirogaleidae.